Molecule: ribosomal RNA, 253 nt
Filed under: uncultured bacterium
Lineage: Bacteria
Description: partial 16S ribosomal RNA
Rfam family: Bacterial small subunit ribosomal RNA
Source: RNAcentral
UACGAAGGGUGCAACCGUUGAUCGGAAUUAUUGGACGUAAAGCGCACGUAGGCGGCUUUGCAAUUCGGAUGUGAAAUCCCUCGGCUUAACCAAGGAAGUGCAUCCGAAACUGCAGAGCUUGAGUACUUAAGAGGAUCGCGGAAUUCCCGGUGUAGAGGUGAAAUUCGUAGAUAUCGGGAGGAACACCAGUGGCGAAGGCGGCGAUCUGGGAAGAUACUGACGCUGAGGUGCGAAAGCGUGGGGAGCAAACAGG